Molecule: ribosomal RNA, 393 nt
Filed under: uncultured bacterium
Lineage: Bacteria
Description: partial 16S ribosomal RNA
Rfam family: Bacterial small subunit ribosomal RNA
Source: RNAcentral
AUACGUAGGGGGCAAGCGUUAUCCGGAUUUAUUGGGUUUAAAGGGAGCGUAGGUGGGAUAUUAAGUCAGCUGUGAAAGUUUGGGGCUCAACCUUAAAAUUGCAGUUGAUACUGGUUUCCUUGAGUACGGUACAGGUGGGCGGAAUUCGUGGUGUAGCGGUGAAAUGCUUAGAUAUCACGAAGAACUCCGAUCGCGAAGGCAGCUCACCGGGCCGGAACUGACACUGAUGCUCGAAAGUGCGGGUAUCAAACAGGAUUAGAUACCCUGGUAGUCCGCACAGUAAACGAUGAAUACUCGCUGUUUGCGAUACACUGUAAGCGGCCAAGCGAAAGCGUUAAGUAUUCCACCUGGGGAGUACGCCGGCAACGGUGAAACUCAAAUGAAUUGACGGGG